AUAAACUAUAGAUAAGCUGGGGCAGGUUCUGAAGGUCAUUUCUUUUGGUAACAUUGUUCACCUAAUUUGGUGAACAUACAGUGUUUUUAAGUCUAUUUCAUUGAAUUCUGUUUACCUGUGUCUUCAGAAAAUAGUUGCAUGAAUUAUAGAAUACAUCUGUUCCUUCUAGAGAUCUGAGGAGCUUAAAAUGUGUUUUACCCUUACUGCUGAUAAAACAUAUACUGUGCAGAUAAAUGAACCAAGAAGUUAUUAAUACCUUUUCUGCUUUGCCUCUUUUAUUUCUCAGUUCUUUUAGAGUUCACUCCCAAUAUUCAGGAUUCUACAGAUUUCUAAAUAACCUUUCCAGUAUCUUACAUUAAAGUUUGAGGAGUAUAUAUUUUCUCAAACAGAGAUGUCUGAGCAGAGUGAGAAUGAAUUCUCAUAGAACAAAACUUGCCAAGCAUAUGUGAUGGAACUGUAGGGAAAAAGAGCCUAACUCUAAUUUUCAGUAAAGCUUAAAAUAGCUACACUGUUAUUAUGUAUGAGGCCUGACAAUUGACAUUUCUCAUUUUGGCAGCAUUCACCUACAGCCCCCUGUCAGGAAAUGAAUGUGUUCAUCUCCAGGGUAAAUGAUUAAUGAGCUGUCUAUCAUUUCCACUCCUUUGUACCAAGUGGUAGAGGCUUCCCUUGAUCAUAUUGCAGCCAUCAGCGUCAUUACUGAAAUGGACUGUGCCUUGAGAGGGUUAUACUAGACUAAUAGAUUAGCAUUUAAAUAAAGAAUUAACUUAUGGC
RNAcentral lists this long non-coding RNA (771 nucleotides) under Bos taurus (domestic cattle). RNAcentral describes it as "long non-coding RNA NONBTAT019257". Lineage: Eukaryota; Metazoa; Chordata; Mammalia; Artiodactyla; Bovidae. The record is from RNAcentral.